Molecule: long non-coding RNA, 1443 nt
Filed under: Oncorhynchus kisutch (coho salmon)
Lineage: Eukaryota; Metazoa; Chordata; Actinopteri; Salmoniformes; Salmonidae
Description: lncRNA (ENSOKIG00005038559.1)
Source: RNAcentral
GAAUGAUUGACUGAAUAGCUGGUGAAUUGUUUUAUUAUGCAGUGACACUCCUAUAUAUUGAUAGAUAAAAUAUUUCCCAACUCAAUGAUUUGAUUCAGGGGGGGGGGGGGGGGGGGGGGGGGGUAGACCAGCUUUAAUAGUGCAGAUAGAUUGUAGCUUCCAUCAAUGUAAUUGUCUGUAUCAUUUCCAAUCCCUCAUAUAUUGUUUUGUAAAUAUAUAUACAGUUCCAGUCAAAGGUUUGGACACACCUACUGUACUCAUUCCAGGGUUUUUACAUUUUUUAAAAGUCAUUUUCUACAUUGUAAAAUAAUAGUAAAAGACAUCAAAACUAUGAAAUAACAUAUGGAAUCAUGUAGUAACCAAAAAAGCGUUAAUAAACAAAUCAAAAUCUAUUUUAGAUAUUAGAUUCUUCAAAGUAGCCACUCUUUGCCUUGAUGACAGCUUUGCACUCUUGGCGCUCUCUCAACCAGCUUCAUGAGGUAGUCACCUGGAAUGCAUUUCAAAUCUUUUGUUUUUAAUCCCAUCCUUCAGCUACCAUCAACCCCUCCCAUCUACCAUUCAGAACAGAGGCGUGAUGAGUCUGGAGGAUCUAUGUGACCAUGACAACGAGGAGUUCAAACAAAUCCACAAUGACUACAGGGGGGUGAAGCUAUGGAAAAUCUCUCAUGGCAGGACUCAUGGCCCUCAAUAUACUGGAGAACUUUCCCAUCAAAGGUACACUCCUCACCUUAGCUAUGGCUCAACAAUAAAGGACAACCCCAGCUAUGUAUUGGUUUGUGGUGAAGAGCAUGGCUACAUUCAACUCCAUUGAGAGAAUGUGUUAAUUACUUACAGCUCGAUUGUUCCAUUGUUGCUUUGAUAGGAAUCAAAAAGAAAUGACCACAUAAGGCCACCUGUUAGUCUCAGUGAGGAUCUUGGGUUGACCCGUCUCGGCGUUCCACAACAAACAGCCAACCCUGGGUCUGCUCCAGAACCGGUGGUAAGAAACACUGGUCUGUUCAAUGCAACCCAAGAAGGUGCUACCUAGAACCGUAAAGGGUUCUUCAAUUGUCCCCCAUAGGAGAUCCUUCAGAAAAUAACAAUUUUUGGUUCCAAGUGGAACCCUUCCACUAAUACAAGGUUCUAAAUGGAACCCUUUCGCUACUAAAAAGGUUCUGAGUAGAAUAAUGGAGACCACCAAAGGGUUCUAUCUGUGGUAUAAAAGAUUUGUACUCGGAACCGUUUCUUAUCCUUUUGAGACAAACAAAUAAAAAGUGUCUCUGUGCUCUGGUUCAGAACAGUGGAGUUACCUCCGUGUGGUGGCUGAGGCCCUGAGCCUGGCUGAUACAGUCCAUUACUGUGCCGACCCAGACCAUGUUAAAAUCCCUCUGUAGCAGUGAAGGCUCCUCGGAGGAGGAAGGGGAGGACCAUCUUCCUCAGUGAAUUUUAUUUAAAAAAUUAAAA